AUUGAACGCUGGCGGCAGGCCUAACACAUGCAAGUCGAACGAGUGGCGGACGGGUGAGUAAUGUCUGGGAAACUGCCCGAUGGAGGGGGGUAACUACUGGAAACGGUAGCUAAUACCGCAUACCAUCGGAUUUGCCCAGAUGGGAUUAGCUAGUAGGUGGGGGAACGGCUCACCUAGGCGACGAUCCCUAGCUGGUCUGAGAGGAUGACCGGCCACACGGGAACUGAGAAACGGUCCAGAUUCCUACGGGAGGCAGCAGGGGGGAAUAUUGCACAAUGGGCGCAAGCCGGAUGCAGCCAGGCCGCGGGUAUGAAGAAGGCCUUCGGGUUGUAAAGUACUUUAAGCGAGGAGGCGUUACUCGCAGAGGAAGCACCGGCUAACUCCGUGCCAGCCGCCGCGGUAAUUC
This 406-nucleotide ribosomal RNA is filed under the name uncultured bacterium. RNAcentral's name for it is "partial 16S ribosomal RNA". It matches the Rfam family "Bacterial small subunit ribosomal RNA", at positions 29 to 526 of the family's 1533-position model. The record is from RNAcentral.